RNAcentral lists this ribosomal RNA (238 nucleotides) under uncultured bacterium. RNAcentral's name for it is "partial 16S ribosomal RNA". It matches the Rfam family "Bacterial small subunit ribosomal RNA", at positions 15 to 244 of the family's 1533-position model. The record is from RNAcentral.
GAUCCUGGCUCAGGGUGAACGCUAGCUACAGGCUUAACACAUGCAAGUCGAGGGGCAGCAUGUUGGUUGCUUGCAACCAACGAUGGCGACCGGCGCACGGGUGAGUAACGCGUAUCCAACCUUCCGCAUACUCGGGAAUAGCCUUUCGAAAGAAAGAUUAAUGCCCGAUGGUUUCCCGAAUCCGCAUGAGAGCGGGAAUAAAGAUUCAUCGGUAUGCGAUGGGGAUGCGUCCCAUUAG